RNAcentral lists this ribosomal RNA (253 nucleotides) under uncultured bacterium. Its description in RNAcentral is "partial 16S ribosomal RNA". It matches the Rfam family "Bacterial small subunit ribosomal RNA", at positions 524 to 776 of the family's 1533-position model. The record is from RNAcentral.
UACGGAGGGGGCCAGCGUUGUUCGGAAUCAUUGGGCGUAAAGGGCGCGUAGGCGGCCUGGCAAGUGGAAGGUGAAAUCCCUCGGCUUAACCGAGGAACUGCCCUCCAAACUGCUUGGCUUGAGACCGGGAGAGGUGAGUGGAAUUCCCAGUGUAGCGGUGAAAUGCGUAGAUAUUGGGAGGAACACCAGUGGCGAAGGCGGCUCACUGGACCGGUACUGACGCUGAGGCGCGAAAGCGUGGGGAGCAAACGGG